UACAGAGGUCCCAAGCGUUGUUCGGAUUUAUUGGGCGUAAAGGGUGCGUAGGUGGCGUCGUAAGUCGGGUGUGAAAUCUCGGGGCUUAACUCCGAAACUGCAUUCGAUACUGCGGUGCUUGAGGACUGGAGAGGAGACUGGAAUUUACGGUGUAGCAGUGAAAUGCGUAGAGAUCGUAAGGAAGACCAGUGGCGAAGGCGGGUCUCUGGAAAGUUCCUGACACUGAGGCACGAAGGCCAGGGGAGCAAACGGG
This 253-nucleotide ribosomal RNA is filed under the name uncultured bacterium. RNAcentral describes it as "partial 16S ribosomal RNA". It matches the Rfam family "Bacterial small subunit ribosomal RNA", at positions 524 to 776 of the family's 1533-position model. The record is from RNAcentral.